CCUACGGGUGGCAGCAGUGAGGAAUAUUGGUCAAUGGGCGCGAGCCUGAACCAGCCAAGUCGCGUGAGGGAUGACGGCUCUACGGGUUGUAAACUUCUUUUGUAGGGGAGUAAAGUGCGGCACGUGUGCCUUUUGGUAUGUACUUUCUGAAUAAGGAUCGGCUAACUCCGUGCCAGCAGCCGCGGUAAUACGGAGGAUUCGCGCGUUAUCCGGAUUUAUUGGGGUUAAAGGGAGCGUAGAUGGGGGCUUAAGUCAGGUGGGAAAGUGGGCGGCUCAACCGUAAAAUUGCAGUUGAUACUGGAAGUCGUGAGUACAGGUGAGGUAGGCGGAAUUCGUGGUGUAGCGGUGAAAUGCGUAGAGAUCACGAAGAACUCCGAUUGCGAAGGCAGCGUACUAAACUGCCACUGACAUUGAUGCGCGAAAGCGUGGGUAUCAAACAGGAUUAGAUACCCGAGUAGUC
Molecule: ribosomal RNA, 460 nt
Filed under: uncultured bacterium
Lineage: Bacteria
Description: partial 16S ribosomal RNA
Rfam family: Bacterial small subunit ribosomal RNA
Source: RNAcentral